UCUCUGGGCUCUGCCAGGGGGCACAGUGUUCCUGGUGCAGAAGGGGCAGCUCCCAUCAGAGCAGGGGGCUAGGUACCAACUUUCCUUCUCCCAUGGUGCCAAGAAGAUGGGUAAGGCCUGCGGAACUCUCCACUUGUGCAAGGUGAGCCUGCAGGAUUUCAUUGGCUACCUGAGGUCGAGGCGGCUCUCUAUGGCAUUGCUCCCUUCCUUUCCUGUGGGUUACAUUGCCAUCCCACUAAGCACAUCCUGAAGGAAGCUCUUCUCUGAGCCCUCCUCAGCAUGCAGGCGACAAGUCACGUGCUGUUCCAGCACCCCCAGGCAUAUGUGGCAGGUCCUGGAUGUCAUGGAGAGAAGGCACCCCUCCAAGGGAAAGACCAGUCUUAUGAUACUGCAAUAAGGAUCCAAGUCCAAGGAGGAUUCCAGGACCAAGGACUGCACUGGCCAACUGGUUUACUUUGUAAAAAUUGUGUUAUUGUGUUUAAGGGCACAUCUCUCCACAAGGAAGCCAGGUUCUAUCUGAGGGGUGAGGCUACAUGAAAAGAUGUCUGCCUAUGAGGAAAAUUCCCAGUACUUGAUCUUGGACUUCUCAUCCUCUAGAAAUACCUGCACCAUGUCCUCCCAUAAAUAAGUGACACGGCUUCCUUGUGGAAUGUCCUACACAGACAGCACACCUUCCUGCGACAGGAAGAGAACUGGGGCAGCGCACAAGGGAGAGAGUUUUGUCUUUUCAGAAUGUCAUACAGUUGGAAUCAUACAGUAUGCAGCCUGGACACAGGUGAACCCAGAGCACAGGAAACAGGUCAUUCCAGCAGAUGAACCAGUGAGUACAAAUCCCUUCUGCUCUACCCAGUGAUGUAAGCUUCACAAGGCCCUCAACCUGUCAGCCAGCCUGGAGAAAAGAGGCAAGGCUAGAAUUCCUAUUUCUCCAGGGAGGAAAUUCUGGUUCCGAGAGGCCCAGAGAGUCUCCUACAGUCCUCUGGAAGGUGAAGAGAACCAGGAUCUCUUUCUGCAUAAGCCCAGAGAGGGACCUAGGUUCCCAAGAGCUCCUCAAUGAAAGGAGAGACCCAGGCUUGCACUCAGGAUUGAGACGGGUGAAACAAGGGACUCUCACCCAGAGCCAGGCACAGCAGGUCCUGACCUAGAAACAUCUGUCUCUCGCUGGAGGUCCUGGGACAUGCAAACCUCCUCCAUCCUAGUUAAUCCUUAACAGGAAUUUAUUAGAUCGAAUUCCAAAGUGGAUGAUCCAAGCUAAACAAAACUAGAGCCUGCAUGGAAUACUUGCAAAUUUAGAUGCUUCUCCACACUAGCUUAUAAUUUGCAAGUUGCAUUAAGAAUUGUGUAAGAAUUGCUUUAACAUUCAUUGUGAUUUUUCUGUUUGUUUUAUGAGUUCUUUCACUUAUAAAGGGAGAGCUCAGUCCCGAUGACUGCUUCCUGGCUGGGAGCAGCAGGCUGUUGGGCAGCAAACCUGGGUGGGCAGCUAGAGGGCUGCCACUGCACCAGCUUUAAUCUGGGGAGCAAUUUUUGGGUGUUGAGGAAUGGUAUACAUAAAAUAUACUCAACUAUGAAAAUGAAAUUCACUGACAGUAAGAAUAUUUACCAAUGACUACGAAAAUUAUAAGGCGACUGUUGUGCAAUUAUAACUGUCUGAUUACUUGUUCACUGCUGUACCUAGACUAUAAGAUACUUUCUGAUGUUUUUUUUUCACAUAUUUUUGUCUCUAAAAUUAUUUGGUGAAUUAAAUUAUUAAAUGCAAUUGAUGACCGAAAUGACUCAUCUGGAUAAAUUUUGGUUUCACCUUAAAUCCGUCUUGUAACACAACAGAAAAGUAUGUAAAUGAAUGGGUUGACUGAAUAAAUAAAUGAUGCAAACAGUGAGACAAAUAAGAAACAAA
Ictidomys tridecemlineatus (thirteen-lined ground squirrel) is the source of this 1891-nucleotide non-coding RNA. NCBI's taxonomy places the organism in Eukaryota, Metazoa, Chordata, Mammalia, Rodentia, Sciuridae. The record is from RefSeq and is a predicted model, not a curated record.